UUGGAGGAUGUAUAGCGAUAGCUAGUUGCAUUAAAUUCGAUUAAUUCGAAGUUAAUGCACCAUCGACUAUGUCGAAUAAAGUUCUAGGUAGAGUUAUGAUAAUGACAUUUUCUAUCUAUGUGUCUUGACCAAAUCACGUGCCAGCAGUCGCGGUAAUACGUGGAAGACUAGUGUUAUUCAUCUUUAAUAGGUUUAAAGGGUACUUAGACGGUAAAUUUAGCCCAAAUAAAAACAAAGGGUACUAAUUAUACUAGAGUUUUAUAAGAGGAGGGUGCGUACUAAUGGUGUAGAGAUGAAAUUCUGUCAUACCAUUAUGACAGGCAACGGCGAAAGCAACCUUUAUAAAAAAACUGACGUUAAAGGACGAAGGCUUUGUGUCAUCAACAGGAUUAGAUACCCAAGUAGUCGUAGCAGACAAUUAUGAAUGCCAUAGAUAAGAAAGCCUAAGAUAAGAAGGAAAACGUUCUCUUUUUAGAAUAUUAUUUAGAAAUUGUUCUACCUUUUCUAACGAAUUUUUUUAGAAAGAGGAUAGGCUGGAAUUUUAUCUAAAAAUAUUCUUAUUUUUAAUUAAUAAAAAGAGAUAUUUAUUAAUUAAGAAUAUUUAUUUUAAUCUUGAAAAUUACCCACAAGAGAUAGGAUAUAUUUUUGUCUAUAAAUGAAAGUGUAAGCAUUCCACCUCAAGAGUAAUGUGGCAACGCAUAAACUGAAAUCAUUAGACCGUUUCUGAAACCAGUAGUGAAGUAUGUUGUUUAAUUAGAUGGUACGCCAAAAACCUUACCACAAUUUGUAUAUUAUUAGCUUAAUACAAGAGUUGCACGGCUGUCUUCAGUUAAUGUCGUGAGAUUUUGGUUAGUUCCUUAAAAUUAACGUAAACCCUUACUUUAUUUAUAUUAUAAAGUAGUUCGCCGCUAUAUUGGAUAAGAUAAGA
This 928-nucleotide ribosomal RNA is filed under the name Rimularia gibbosa. RNAcentral describes it as "mitochondrial SSU rRNA". It matches the Rfam family "Bacterial small subunit ribosomal RNA", at positions 354 to 1174 of the family's 1533-position model. Lineage: Eukaryota; Fungi; Ascomycota; Lecanoromycetes; Trapeliales; Trapeliaceae. The record is from RNAcentral.